AAUUUAGACCCAUUAUAAAGUCACAAAUAAUAUCCAGUCACAAUUCACAAAACUACUGACUGUUUCUAGAACAAACGAAAAAGAACUUGAUGAUUGGUAUUCGAAACUUAAGUUUGAAUCCUAGUUGAUUCACAUUUCCAGCUAAGUUUAUUUCUAAAUGAAAUAAACGAAGCGGGUAGCAUGCUAUCUAUCUCUCAAAAAAAUUAAAAAAUUCAUAGAACUAAUUUUAACAUUCAGUCUUUUAAAAUUUUAAUUUUAUUAUUUAUUUUUUAUUUUAAUAUUUUCUUUGAUUAAUAAUAUUUUAAUCUUAAAUUAAGCUAAUUAUUUUUUGUAAUAAAUUUAUAGUUAGAAAAAUAAA
Molecule: long non-coding RNA, 358 nt
Filed under: Ananas comosus (pineapple)
Lineage: Eukaryota; Viridiplantae; Streptophyta; Magnoliopsida; Poales; Bromeliaceae
Description: long non-coding RNA (ACOM_LNC000237)
Source: RNAcentral